GCUUCGGCGGGCCCGCCGCUUGUCGGCCGCCGGGGGGGCGCCUCUGCCCCCCGGGCCCGUGCCCGCCGGAGACCCCAACACGAACACUGUCUGAAAGCGUGCAGUCUGAGUUGAUUGAAUGCAAUCAGUUAAAACUUUCAACAAUGGAUCUCUUGGUUCCGGCAUCGAUGAAGAACGCAGCGAAAUGCGAUAACUAAUGUGAAUUGCAGAAUUCAGUGAAUCAUCGAGUCUUUGAACGCACAUUGCGCCCCCUGGUAUUCCGGGGGGCAUGCCUGUCCGAGCGUCAUUGCUGCCCUCAAGCCCGGCUUGUGUGUUGGGUCGCCGUCCCCCUCUCCGGGGGGACGGGCCCGAAAGGCAGCGGCGGCACCGCGUCCGAUCCUCGAGCGUAUGGGGCUUUGUCACAUGCUCUGUAGGAUUGGCCGGCGCCUGCCGACGUUUUCCAACCAUUCUUUCCAGGUUGACCUCGGAUCAGGUAGGGAU
Molecule: ribosomal RNA, 480 nt
Filed under: Aspergillus sp. F1-16s
Lineage: Eukaryota; Fungi; Ascomycota; Eurotiomycetes; Eurotiales; Aspergillaceae
Description: eukaryotic LSU rRNA
Rfam family: 5.8S ribosomal RNA (bases 133-286)
Source: RNAcentral